Molecule: long non-coding RNA, 357 nt
Filed under: Sus scrofa (pig)
Lineage: Eukaryota; Metazoa; Chordata; Mammalia; Artiodactyla; Suidae
Description: lncRNA (ENSSSCG00070012437.1)
Source: RNAcentral
GAGGCCGCGAAAUGUAUUGAGAAGAUGCAGCAUCAAGUGCAAAAGCUUGAAAAGGAAAAUGCCGAGUUAAAAGAUACAAACAAAAUGCAAGCGGGCACAAUUGAAGAGCUUCAGAGAAACCCGCCGGGUCCAAGUUCGGCUUGAAAAGGAAAAUGCCGAGUUAAAAGCUAUAAAGAAGCUGCAAGCAAGGGCAAUUGAAAAGCUUCUGAAAAACCCGCUGGCUCCAAGAUCGGUAAGUCGGGUUUUUUCUGUCAUAACCGAAAAGGAAUUUUAAUUGUGUUACCAAUAUUAUAUGAGACUAUUUUAGAAAGUAGGAAGAGUCUCAUUGAUGAAAAGCAGUUACGGCAUCGAUAGUGG